UACCAGAAUAGUCCUUGGCUAUAUCCAUAUAUAUAUAUAUAUAAUUUAUACAUUGUGCCUUCAAAGCCUUAGCACAAUUUUAAGCUUUAAUAACUUUUUUUUAAAUGGGGGGGAGCAGGGGGGAGCUAGAUUGCUCAGUGGUUUGAGAGCCAAGUAUUAACCAGAGAUGUGAUAUAAGCCCAGGUCCUAUAAACUCCAGUUACUGUUAUUUCCACUGCGUUAUACUGCCUUCCAUUCUGAUGUUUCAGACUGCAUAGGAAUAUCUGGAAGACCCCAUCUUCUAUAAGGGGAAUCCCACUGGAGAUCCACACUGGACAUCCCAUAUACUGGACAUUGCAUAUUCCAUACUGCAAUGGAAACAGAAAAUAAUAAUGUGUUAGAGUUGGAAGAGAUUUUGAAGUCUUCAAAUAGAAUCUUAAUUAUACUUGAUGAAAAACCACCUCUGCAACAUAGAAGUGGUUAUUUAGUCUUUGUUUGAAGAUCUCCAAAGAGGAAGAACUGAAUACAUCCUAAGGUUGGAACCUGACUCAUUUGCUCUCAGUGAAAGGUGAAAGAAAUUAGAAGUUCAGGGGCUUAAUGCAAAGCUCCUGAUUCAACACCACAUAGAGAAGGGGGAAUUGACACAUACGUUUUUAAAACUGGUCUCUUUUAGUUCAAAAUAUAUUAUCCCAUGAAUUCGAUUUCACUGAAGGCUGCCUACAAAUAGGAUGUAACCCAGAGGCAGAGGUUGGAAAUUCAAGAAGAUUUGGCAUUAAGAAACCUGUAGCUCCAGGAAAUAGACAGGACAACAGAACAGAGAACAAAAUGGAUAUAAGUGGAACCAAAGAAGAAUUUCAGAGAUAUACUUUACAUAAACCUUACUCUGGUAUCCUUCAUUGUAAACGACAUUAUUAUAAGCAUUAUUUUAUGGUGAUCUAAGUUCUACAUUAUAAUAAUAGUAAUUUUUGAGUUACUAAUGUGAAUUUAAUUCUCUUUAAUAUUAAGAUUUUAAAGAAUUUAUUUGUUUAAACUACUAAUAUUUUGAAUCAGUUGAGAAAAAUUAUUGCAAUAAAUAUCUGUUGCAUGCCUUUUAUGUACCA
This 1079-nucleotide long non-coding RNA is filed under the name Monodelphis domestica (gray short-tailed opossum). Its description in RNAcentral is "lncRNA (ENSMODG00000032759.2)". Lineage: Eukaryota; Metazoa; Chordata; Mammalia; Didelphimorphia; Didelphidae. The record is from RNAcentral.